GCCGGUGUAGCUCAGUUGGCUAGAGCAGCUGAUUUGUAAUCAGCAGGUCGUGGGUUCGAGUCCCUCCAUCGGCU
This 74-nucleotide transfer RNA is filed under the name Flavobacterium sp. Its description in RNAcentral is "tRNA-Thr". It matches the Rfam family "tRNA". From Rfam's summary of the family: Transfer RNA (tRNA) molecules are approximately 80 nucleotides in length. Their secondary structure includes four short double-helical elements and three loops (D, anti-codon, and T loops). Further hydrogen bonds mediate the characteristic L-shaped molecular structure. tRNAs have two regions of fundamental functional importance: the anti-codon, which is responsible for specific mRNA codon recognition, and the 3' end, to which the tRNAs corresponding amino acid is attached (by aminoacyl-tRNA synthetases). tRNAs cope with the degeneracy of the genetic code in two manners: having more than one tRNA (with a specific anti-codon) for a particular amino acid; and 'wobble' base-pairing, i.e. permitting non-standard base-pairing at the 3rd anti-codon position. RNAcentral also lists the same sequence under 24 other names. Lineage: Bacteria; Pseudomonadati; Bacteroidota; Flavobacteriia; Flavobacteriales; Flavobacteriaceae. The record is from RNAcentral.